This 447-nucleotide ribosomal RNA is filed under the name uncultured bacterium. RNAcentral's name for it is "bacterial SSU rRNA". It matches the Rfam family "Bacterial small subunit ribosomal RNA", at positions 28 to 507 of the family's 1533-position model. The record is from RNAcentral.
GAUGAACGCUAGCGGCAGGCUUAAUACAUGCAAGUCGAGGGGCAGCACAGUGUAGCAAUACAUGGGUGGCGACCGGCAAACGGGUGCGUAACACGUACACAACUUACCCUUUACUGGGGGAUAGCCCAGGGAAACUUGGAUUUAAAGCUCCGGCGCUUAGAGAUUGGUGUGCGUCCGAUUAGCUAGUUGGUGGGGUAACGGCUCACCAAGGCGACGAUCGGUAGGGGGUGUGAGAGCAUGACCCCCCACACGGGUACUGAGACACGGACCCGACUCCUACGGGAGGCAGCAGUAAGGAAUAUUGGACAAUGGAGGGAACUCUGAUCCAGCCAUGCCGCGUGAAGGAUGAAGGCGCUCAGCGUUGUAAACUUCUUUUGGAUGGGAACAAUAACUUCUACGUGUAGGAGCUUGAGGGUACCAUCAGAAUAAGCACCGGCUAACUCCGUG